Molecule: ribosomal RNA, 239 nt
Filed under: uncultured Pseudomonadota bacterium
Lineage: Bacteria; Pseudomonadati; Pseudomonadota
Description: uncultured proteobacterium partial 16S ribosomal RNA
Rfam family: Bacterial small subunit ribosomal RNA
Source: RNAcentral
UUGGGUAUAAAGUGUGCGUAGGCGGUUUGUUAAGUCAGAUGUGAAAGCCCUGGGCUCAACCUGGGAACUGCAUUUGAUACUGGCAGGCUAGAGUAUGGUAGAGGGAAGUGGAAUUCCGGGUGUAGCGGUGAAAUGCGUAGAUAUCCGGAGGAACACCAGUGGCGAAGGCGGCUUCCUGGACCAAUACUGACGCUGAGGUACGAAAGCGUGGGUAGCAAACAGGAUUAGAUACCCUUGUA